GUGGACAUAGCUCAGUGGUAGAGCGCACACUUAGCAUACACAAGGUCCUGGGUUCAAUCCCCAGUACCUCCA
RNAcentral lists this transfer RNA (72 nucleotides) under Camelus bactrianus (Bactrian camel). It matches the Rfam family "tRNA". Rfam says of the family: Transfer RNA (tRNA) molecules are approximately 80 nucleotides in length. Their secondary structure includes four short double-helical elements and three loops (D, anti-codon, and T loops). Lineage: Eukaryota; Metazoa; Chordata; Mammalia; Artiodactyla; Camelidae. The record is from Rfam by way of RNAcentral. RNAcentral also lists the same sequence under 2 other names.